RNAcentral lists this transfer RNA (86 nucleotides) under Streptococcus pyogenes. RNAcentral's name for it is "tRNA-Leu". It matches the Rfam family "tRNA". Rfam says of the family: Transfer RNA (tRNA) molecules are approximately 80 nucleotides in length. Their secondary structure includes four short double-helical elements and three loops (D, anti-codon, and T loops). Further hydrogen bonds mediate the characteristic L-shaped molecular structure. tRNAs have two regions of fundamental functional importance: the anti-codon, which is responsible for specific mRNA codon recognition, and the 3' end, to which the tRNAs corresponding amino acid is attached (by aminoacyl-tRNA synthetases). tRNAs cope with the degeneracy of the genetic code in two manners: having more than one tRNA (with a specific anti-codon) for a particular amino acid; and 'wobble' base-pairing, i.e. permitting non-standard base-pairing at the 3rd anti-codon position. RNAcentral also lists the same sequence under 39 other names. Lineage: Bacteria; Bacillati; Bacillota; Bacilli; Lactobacillales; Streptococcaceae. The record is from RNAcentral.
GCGGUUGUGGUGGAAUGGCAGACACGCCAUCUUGAGGGGGUGGUGAGCGUACGCUCGUGAGGGUUCAAGUCCCUCCAACCGCACCA